RNAcentral lists this small RNA (389 nucleotides) under Arabidopsis thaliana (thale cress). Its description in RNAcentral is "ATSL012130". The record is from RNAcentral. Lineage: Eukaryota; Viridiplantae; Streptophyta; Magnoliopsida; Brassicales; Brassicaceae.
UAUAACAUGUAAUGAUGAUUUUGCAUUAAUUAUGACAAGAGUCACGUCUAAACUUUUUGGGCCAUUAAAUGUUGAUGUCAUUUCGUUUUUAAUGGAAAAAAUCUCUCUUCUUACUGUACAGCCGCACUCCUCAACGUGAAACAAAAAUAAUUCCAACUAAACCGGAACAGUGUACCUAACUAAACCUGACUAACUAAACUGUACAUUCAACAGUUUCUCAGCUGUAGCAGCAAGGAAAAAAUGGUCAAAUUUCAGCUGAAAAGACAAAACGUGAAAACUACCUUUCACUUUGCCAAUCCUUGAAAAUAAAAUAUGGUCAAAAGGUGUGGCCCGCAAAUUACCCUAUUUUAAAUUUGAUUGGGUGCAACUUUGAGCUGUAGUAAGUAAAA